AGAGUUUGAUCCUGGCUCAGAGCGAACGCUGGCGGCAGGCUUAACACAUGCAAGUCGAGCGGGCCCUUCGGGGUCAGCGGCGGACGGGUGAGUAACGCGUGGGAACGUGCCCUCUGGUUCGGAAUAACCCUGGGAAACUAGGGCUAAUACCGGAUACGCCCGCGGUCUUUGGUGACUGUGGGGAAAGGCUUGCUGCCGGAGGAUCGGCCCGCGUCUGAUUAGCUAGUUGGUGGGGUAACGGCCUACCAAGGCGACGAUCAGUAGCUGGUCUGAGAGGAUGAUCAGCCACACUGGGACUGAGACACGGCCCAGACUCCUACGGGAGGCAGCAGUGGGGAAUAUUGGACAAUGGGCGCAAGCCUGAUCCAGCCAUGCCGCGUGAGUGAUGAAGGCCUUAGGGUUGUAAAGCUCUUUUAUCCGGGACGAUA
Molecule: ribosomal RNA, 428 nt
Filed under: uncultured Methylobacterium sp.
Lineage: Bacteria; Pseudomonadati; Pseudomonadota; Alphaproteobacteria; Hyphomicrobiales; Methylobacteriaceae
Description: bacterial SSU rRNA
Rfam family: Bacterial small subunit ribosomal RNA
Source: RNAcentral